UAGGGAACCUUCGGCAAUGGACGAAAGUCUGACCGAGCAACGCCGCGUGAGUGAAGAAGGUUUUCGGAUCGUAAAACUCUGUUGUUAGAGAAGAACAAGGACGUUAGUAACUGAACGUCCCCUGACGGUAUCUAACCAGAAAGCCACGGCUAACUACGUGCCAGCAGCCGCGGUAAUACGUAGGUGGCAAGCGUUGUCCGGAUUUAUUGGGCGUAAAGCGAGCGCAGGCGGUUUCUUAAGUCUGAUGUGAAAGCCCCCGGCUCAACCGGGGAGGGUCAUUGGAAACUGGGAGACUUGAGUGCAGAAGAGGAGAGUGGAAUUCCAUGUGUAGCGGUGAAAUGCGUAGAUAUAUGGAGGAACACCAGUGGCGAAGGCGGCUCUCUGGUCUGUAACUUACGCUGAGGCUCGAAAGCGUGGGGAGCAAACAGG
Molecule: ribosomal RNA, 429 nt
Filed under: Gemmatimonadota bacterium
Lineage: Bacteria; Pseudomonadati; Gemmatimonadota
Description: Gemmatimonadetes bacterium partial 16S ribosomal RNA
Rfam family: Bacterial small subunit ribosomal RNA
Source: RNAcentral